UCGCCUGUUUUUCAAAAACAUCGCCUCUUGCCUAAUAUGAGAGGUCCAGCCUGCCCAGUGACUAAGUUCAACGGCCGCGGUAUCCUAACCGUGCGAAGGUAGCGUAAUCACUUGUUCUUUAAAUGAGGACUAGUAUGAAUGGCACCACGAGGGUUAUACUGUCUCCUUUUUCUAAUCAAUGAAACUGAUCUCCCCGUGAAGAAGCGGGGAUACUACUAUAAGACGAGAAGACCCUAUGGAGCUUUAAACUUUAAUAACACUGAUUUAUACAUUAUCAAAUUUCAGAAUUUUUAAUAAAGAUAUUAAUCAGAGUGUCUAUUAGUUUUAGGUUGGGGUGACCGCGGAGCAAAAAUUAACCUCCACGUUGAACGGAAUCUAUCCUGAGCCGAAAGCUACAACUUUAAGCACCAAUAAAAUGACAAUAAUUGACCCAAAAAUUUGAGCAACGAACCAAGUUACCCUAGGGAUAACAGCGCAAUCCAUUUCAAGAGCCCCUAUCGACAAAUGGGUUUACGACCUCGAUGUUGGAUCAGGGUAUCCCAGUGGUGCAGCCGCUACUAAAGGUUCGUUUGUUCAACGAUUAAAACCCUACGUGAUCUGAGUCCAGAACCGGA
This 614-nucleotide ribosomal RNA is filed under the name Dendropsophus schubarti (Schubart's Rondonia treefrog). Its description in RNAcentral is "partial large subunit ribosomal RNA". It matches the Rfam family "Bacterial large subunit ribosomal RNA", at positions 1796 to 2621 of the family's 2925-position model. The record is from RNAcentral. Lineage: Eukaryota; Metazoa; Chordata; Amphibia; Anura; Hylidae.